AUGCCUGUACCAUAACCGACACAGGUGGGUAGGUAGAGUAUACUAAGGGGCGCGAGAUAACUCUCUCUAAGGAACUCGGCAAAAUGACUCCGUAACUUCGGGAGAAGGAGUGCCUUAUUUAUAAGGUUGCAAUAACAAGAUCCAAGCAACUGUUUAUCAAAAACACAGGUCUCCGCUAAGUCGUAAGACGAUGUAUGGGGGCUGACGCCUGCCCAGUGCCAGAAGGUUAAAGAAGUUGGUUAGUGUAUGCGAAGCUGAUGACUGAAGCCCUGGUGAACGGCGGCCGUAACUAUAACGGUCCUAAGGUAGCGAAAUUCCUUGUCGGGUAAGUUCCGACCCGCACGAAAGGCGUAAUGAUUUGGAUACUGUCUCGGAGAGAGGCUCGGUGAAAUAGACUUGUCUGUGAAGAUGCGGACUACCUGCACCAGGACAGAAAGACCCUAUGAAGCUUUACUGUAACUUGAAAUUGGAAUUGGACUUUGCUUGCGCAGUAUAGGUGGGAAGCGUUGAAGAUAUUCUUGCGGGAGUAUUGGAGCUAUCAGUGAGAUACCACUCUUGUAAUGUUAGAUUUCUAACUUUGAACCAUAAUCUGGUCAAAGAACAGUUUCAGGUGGGCAGUUUGACUGGGGCGGUCGCCUCCCAAAUGGUAACGGAGGCGUACAAGGGUUUCCUCUGAACGGAUAGAAAUCGUAUCUAGAGUGUAAAGGCAUAAGGAAGCUUGACUGUGAGACCUACAAGUCGAGCAGGGACGAAAGUCGGUCUUAGUGAUCUGACGGUACUGAGUGGAAAGGCCGUCACUCAACGGAUAAAAGUUACUCUAAGGAUAACAGGCUGAUCUCCCCCAAGAGUUCACAUCGACGGGGAGGUUUGGCACCUCGAUGUCGGCUCAUCGCAUCCUGGGGCGGUAGUACGUCCCAAGGGUUGGGCUGUUCGCCCAUGAAAGCGGUACGCGAGCUGGGUUCAGAACGUCGUGAGACAGUUCGGUCCAUAUCCGGUGUAGGCGUUAGAAUAUUGAGAGGAGCCUUCUUUAGUACGAGAGGACCGAGAAGGACACACCGCUGGUGUACCAGUUAUCGUGCCAACGGUAAACGCUGGGUAGCUAUGUGUGGAGUGGAUAACCGCUGAAAGCAUCUAAGUGGGAAGCCCACCUCAAGAUGAGUAUUCUGGUGUAAGGUCACGGGAAGACGACCCGUAAAUAGGCACGAGGUGGAAGUGCAGAGAUGUAUGAAGCCGAAGUGUACUAAUAGACCGUCGGCUUGACC
RNAcentral lists this ribosomal RNA (1262 nucleotides) under metagenome. RNAcentral describes it as "bacterial LSU rRNA". It matches the Rfam family "Bacterial large subunit ribosomal RNA", at positions 1638 to 2925 of the family's 2925-position model. The record is from RNAcentral.